UGCCAGCAGCCGCGGUAAUACGGAGGGGGUUAGCGUUGUUCGGAAUUACUGGGCGUAAAGCGCGCGUAGGCGGACUGGUCAGUUGGGGGUGAAAUCCCGGGGCUCAACCUCGGAACUGCCUUCAAUACUACCAGUCUUGAGAUCGAGAGAGGUAAGCGGAAUUCCUAGUGUAGAGGUGAAAUUCGUAGAUAUUAGGAAGAACACCAGUGGCGAAGGCGGCUUACUGGCUCGAUACUGACGCUGAGGCGCGAAAGCGUGGGGGGCGAACAGGAUUAGAUA
Molecule: ribosomal RNA, 279 nt
Filed under: uncultured bacterium
Lineage: Bacteria
Description: partial 16S ribosomal RNA
Rfam family: Bacterial small subunit ribosomal RNA
Source: RNAcentral